GAUGAACGCUGGCGGCGUGCCUAAUACAUGCAAGUCGAGCGAGCAGAUAAGGAGCUUGCUCCUUUGAAGUUAGCGGCGGACGGGUGAGUAACACGUGGGUAACCUACCUAUAAGACUGGGAUAACUUCGGGAAACCGGAGCUAAUACCGGAUAACAUUUAGAACCGCAUGGUUCUAAAGUGAAAGAUGGUUUUGCUAUCACUUAUAGAUGGACCCGCGCCGUAUUAGCUAGUUGGUAAGGUAACGGCUUACCAAGGCGACGAUACGUAGCCGACCUGAGAGGGUGAUCGGCCACACUGGAACUGAGACACGGUCCAGACUCCUACGGGAGGCAGCAGUAGGGAAUCUUCCGCAAUGGGCGAAAGCCUGACGGAGCAACGCCGCGUGAGUGAUGAAGGGUUUCGGCUCGUAAAACUCUGUUAUUAGGGAAGAACAAAUGUGUAAGUAACUGUGCACAUCUUGACGGUACCUAAUCAGAAAGCCACGGCUAACUACGUG
This 497-nucleotide ribosomal RNA is filed under the name uncultured bacterium. Its description in RNAcentral is "partial 16S ribosomal RNA". It matches the Rfam family "Bacterial small subunit ribosomal RNA", at positions 28 to 507 of the family's 1533-position model. The record is from RNAcentral.